Molecule: ribosomal RNA, 305 nt
Filed under: uncultured bacterium
Lineage: Bacteria
Description: bacterial SSU rRNA
Rfam family: Bacterial small subunit ribosomal RNA
Source: RNAcentral
UUUCCCUACGGGGGGCAGCAGUGGGGAAUAUUGCACAAUGGGGGAAACCCUGAUGCAGCGACGCCGCGUGAGUGAAGAAGUAUUUCGGUAUGUAAAGCUCUAUCAGCGGGGAAGAAAAUGACGGUACCUGACUAAGAAGCCCCGGCUAACUACGUGCCAGCAGCCGCGGUGAUACGUAGGGGGCAAGCGUUAUCCGGAUUUACUGGGUGUAAAGGGAGCGUAGACGGUGCGCCAAGUCUGGAGUGAAAUGCCGCAGCUUAACUGCGGAACUGCUUUGGAAACUGGCGAACUAGAGUGCGGGAGGG